UUUAUUCAUUCAUUCAACUUCAAACAUCAAGGGGAUCGUUUCUUUAAUUGGGUUCUCAAACUAGAAGUUCCUCCGAUUGGGUUUCUGAAGUUUUAAUCAUUUCGGAAUUGAGUCUUCCUUCCAUGUCCGUGAAAGCUUUUUCUAUCUAAACCGUAUAUUUUAUGCAAUAAAAUUCGACCUCUUUGAGAGAUUUUGGCAUAUCCUAUUGCAAAUUUCUGAUAAUUUCGGGAGAAACCCAGUUACGGAAUCCUUGAUCUGUUGGGAACCAAAUUAAUAAAUUAUUUUGUUCAUGGACACCAUUGUAAAUAAAUAAAUCUGAAUAUGGUGGCAAAUGCUAAUUGCACAAAGCUUGUGCAUCAGAGUAAGCAUCAAUAAUCUACCAUCAAACUAGGUAUGAAGAUUAGUUAGAAGAGUAAGGCAGAUGACAGAAGGCACAGCUUUUGGUACGGUGCAAUUGCUGGUUGAUUUCCGUGCUACUUAAAGCAUAAAUUUUUGAAGAUUAGUUAAGCUUCUACAUAUAACAUCAUUAUCAUAUUUGAAUAGCUGAAAUAAUAUUUCAUUCAAAUUAAGAAUUACUUUUGAUCAUA
Molecule: long non-coding RNA, 587 nt
Organism: Populus euphratica (Euphrates poplar)
Lineage: Eukaryota; Viridiplantae; Streptophyta; Magnoliopsida; Malpighiales; Salicaceae
Exons: 2
Source: RefSeq, a predicted model, not a curated record